GCCAUGCUUUCUGAGAGGUUGGUGUUGUGAAGUAUUAAGGAUGAGCUUACAUUGUUUGUUGAUUGUCAGAUUAGGCUUGUGGCAAAUGAAUGCCUGGAUGCUUAAUUCAUGAUGAUUUUUUGUAUGAAUAUAUGUGUGGCUCUUGCCUGUCCAUGUGGCAUGAAUUGAUUAUAUUCGUUUCUAGCCCUUUUGACAUGAGGCAUGUUUGUG
This 210-nucleotide unclassified non-coding RNA is filed under the name Hevea brasiliensis (rubber tree). Lineage: Eukaryota; Viridiplantae; Streptophyta; Magnoliopsida; Malpighiales; Euphorbiaceae. The record is from RNAcentral.